Long non-coding RNA from Dermacentor silvarum, 1760 nucleotides. RefSeq lists it as uncharacterized. The record is from RefSeq and is a predicted model, not a curated record. NCBI's taxonomy places the organism in Eukaryota, Metazoa, Arthropoda, Arachnida, Ixodida, Ixodidae. The transcript has 2 exons.
UUGUCUUCUUUUCAUUCUGGGCACACACAUCAUCUGCAACAGCUGUGCAAUGUAACAAUAAGUACAUGUGUAGUGCAACAGGGAAAAAUAUGGAGCCAUAUUAUACAGUAGUUUCAAUAAGUACAGUGCUUUAAAGUGCAUAUAUACCAUAUCGCUGUAUAGUGUAUAUAUGUAUGUACAAACAAACAUGCAUAAUACUGCAGGGUGCAAAAUAACACAACGGCAGGGAAUGUCUUGCACGUUAUAUAAUGUGCCGCAUACCAGCACAGACUGCAAGCACUUCAAAGAAUUGGAAUAUGGAAGGCUUUUUCAAGGCAAAAAAUAGACAAGCAACAUGCCAUCAACUAUGCACCACCAUACAUUGUAUUCGUGUAUCUUUUUAAUAGUAUGUGCAAAAUAAUCAAUUCAAGUAAGAACUCUGCAUAAUGCUUAAAUCCAUGCAAAACAAUUUGGCUUUAGCAUGGCACAAUUUAGCACAGUGCUAAAGUUUAUGCUAUUGUUUGUGCUACAAUUACUGUAUAGACUUGCGUAAGGGCCGCACUUUUAUGAGGUGCAGUCUUUACAUGGAACAAAACCUUUUGGUCAAAAUGGUGCCAGCGACUACAGCACACCUCGGAUGUACCACUGCAUCGGAGGUCAACGCGCAGCUCUCGCCAUCUAGUAAUGGCACGCUGAAGUAUGCAGUGUGCGGCAUCGGGGCACCGAAUGUGAUUGCUUCUCGGAUGGGAAUAUUUUUUUUCCAAAUUUUGGGCUGCCAAGUUGGGGGUGCGGCCCUUACGAGAGUCUAUAUGGUAUAGUACAGCAACCUCAUGUGCCUCUUCAGCUCUAGGUUCUAGGGUAGAGUGUAUAGGAAAACUCUUUAUACUCUACACUGCACUGGAACUUCACGUCCUUUCCUCGGAUAUCUUGUGUUCAAUUUCCCGAACUUGUGCCGUUUCUUCUAAUCUGGCAUUAUUUUUUACUGUUAUGUGAAAGGACUAGCUGGCACCAUUUUUGGGUGACAGUAUGUUUUUCUUGUCAUAUAUAUGUAUAUCAUUAAAGAUUUAUUCAUUUUAUACAAGUGGGCACACUUUAUUCGUGAAGAUAUUGUGCUUUUCUAAAAAAGAUGCCACUGCAAUGGAUACUCGCGCUUAAUUUCACUGAGCAAUUUUUUCAAAUGAAAAAACGCUGCUCGGGGAGGAUUGUUAGGGGGUUAUCUUUGCAAUCUAUGACUCUGACCUAGUUAGUAGAUAGCUUUAGUUUACCCAUAUAGAUGCAUUACCUUUUACAGAAUUACUGGGUUAACAGAUCUGUGAAUGGCAGUAGCUACGUUGGUAGGAACACCAGAUGUUUUGUCCAACCACAAUGCGUUUAACAUGGUUUUAUGUUGUAUGAGGGGUCUUGUCGGAGAACUCUAUAAAGGGUUUCAUGUUAAACGAUUGUCACCGCCAACAGUUGACGCCAGCAGCUAAGUAGAAUAUGGUUGGCCGCUAGAAUAAUAGCUCUGUGUCCUCUCUAGUUAAGGUUUGCACCACCAGCUGGUGCUAUUAGCACUGCCCUAGCUGCCCACGUAUCCGGUGACCUAGUGUUCUGCAAAGGGCAAUACAUUAACAGACAAGCUAAAACUAUCCAAUAGCUGUGAUUAGCCGGCACGCAAGUUCUGCACUUCAGAGUCUCCAAGGAACAUCAGGUCAUACAGUCCAUGACAUUGCACCUAAGUAUACAUGCUAUCUCUAGCAAGCCCAGCAAGGUAAGUUGACCAGGAACCCUGGACGCAUGAA